UCCGGGCCGACGCCGAGUUCUGUCCACGGUCCGCAGCUCCCUCCGAGAGAUCUUGGGCAGAAGCGGGGGAACCACGUUCCUCCGGGUGGCUCGUUGCGGGCCACCCUUGGGGUUAAGCCGUUACGCGCACGCCGCGGAAACGGCCGGGCUUCCCGGCCCGAACCCGACAGCUAACCUCGCAGGCGUACGGGAAGGACUC
Molecule: small RNA, 199 nt
Filed under: Frankia sp.
Lineage: Bacteria; Bacillati; Actinomycetota; Actinomycetes; Frankiales; Frankiaceae
Description: c-di-AMP sequence
Rfam family: c-di-AMP riboswitch aptamer (ydaO/yuaA leader) (bases 31-199)
About the family: This family represents a conserved RNA structure found upstream of the ydaO and yuaA genes in Bacillus subtilis and related genes in other bacteria. The ydaO/yuaA element is thought to act as a genetic "off" switch for the ydaO and yuaA genes in its native state.
Source: RNAcentral